CUUUUUUCUUUCUUUUCCUUCUUAUUCUUUCUUCUAUGUUCUUCCUAUUCUUUUCUCUGUUAAAUUCAAAUCCAGGGUUUUAUAUUUGUUUGCGUGAACGAUUCAUCAGAAGCUUGGCUAAUUAUUGAUUGAGGACGAAGGUGAUGGUGCUGAAGUUAUUUAGCAACGAGAAGAAGCAGAGAAAGGGAUAGUCUAUAUUAACAACGAUCGAUCAAGGAUGAACCAGUGGAUCGUGGAUCUCGAGGUAGGCAUGGCCUGUCAUCAAAUCAGGUGGGAACUUUGUAACAUUUUUGUAAUCAUUAAGUUACUUUAUCUUCGAGCAUGAUGAGUCCUUAUUUUCUAUGAGCAUGUUGUUUGUAAUUGAAUAUGUAUGUUGUGUGAUAUGCGUUGGGUGGUUCUCCGCGAAGAUUGUCUGUGAUUCCCCAUAGCUCUUUGCUAAGUUUAGUAGGGCAAUGCUACGUUGUUGAAUAUUACUUAGUAGCCCGACUUUACCACGGAUAAAUAUUAUUACAUUUUAUUGGCUUAAGAUAGUAGUCCGGCUUUACCCCGGUUAAAUAGUAUAUAUACUACAUUUUAUUUGGGGAUAUCACUCUGUGCAUAUCAUACUUGAUUGUCCAGUCUUGGUAUUAUGACUGGGUUACUAUGACCUUGAUUUAGGAAGAAAUUCUAGGUUCAUGACUAGAUAUGGUUAUUAUUUGGAGACUUCGGUCUACGAAUAAUGAUUGGGACUUUUAUGAACCAGUUGUGCGGGGUCAGAUCAUAAUAAUCAAAACUUUAUUAUAUUCUAGACUUAGAUGGUGGCAUUGGGAUUUAUGAGGUGUACACAUUCCACGUUAAUAUUUUACGGUACCUGGAUUCAUGCUAUCAUUUGAGACUGGAGUUAUUCCUAGCAUCUUCUCCUCCAUUGAGUGAGACGAGGUUGGGAUAACAUAUGUUUAGGUUGUUUAAUUCUUUUCUCGUAGAUCCAUCCGGAGGUGGAUAUUUCAUGUAUAUUGCCACUAUCGACGUAAUAUAUGGGGAUUUGAAUUGAAGCAAUCUUCUGCUCUAUGUUGCGUGUAAAAUAUGUGUAUCGUUUCUCUUUAGUAGAACUGUGAUGCAUGCUAGUGAUUACUUGAAUGUUAUAUGGGGAUUUGAAUUGAAGCAACCACUGACUCCCAUUUGGGAUGAUGUGCUCACUUGUUCCCACUUCAGUUUCAGUUUUUCAGAAGAGAUGGCGCGCAUGAAGAUAUUCGUUUCGUAGUUUGAAACUUUAGCAGAUUAAGAACGUUUAUGGAUCUUUUAUAUAUAUGUAUUCUUGGUUUAUCUGUAAAACAACACGUUAAUAUAUUCAUAUCAUAUGAGAGUUUUCAUCUA
This is a long non-coding RNA of Papaver somniferum (opium poppy), 1353 nucleotides long. RefSeq lists it as uncharacterized. Lineage: Eukaryota; Viridiplantae; Streptophyta; Magnoliopsida; Ranunculales; Papaveraceae. The record is from RefSeq and is a predicted model, not a curated record. The transcript has 2 exons.